CUGCCGUGUGCUUCCCUGAUUCUCUAGACUCACUUGGGAAGGGUACUUCCAAUCAGCUCAACACAGGCCCACACAUACACUUCUUCCGGGGAUGUCAAUCCUUCUUCAUCUUUACCUUCAUCCCAACUUCUAGGGGCUCCUCAUCCCACUCCUCCAUGUCUGGAACCAUGGCUAUGAGUCCCCUGUGGCACCCUGCGUCCUCCUUUUUAAUGACAGCUGAGCUUUUAUAUCAGCUCCAGCAUGCAGGUAUGGGAUACUCUGGCUCCAUCCCAGAGUAAGUCUUUCCUAGACCCACACCUACCAAAAGAGGCAACGGUAUCCACAUAAGCCUUAUAGAUUCCACUGAAGCUCCAAAGCAUCCUGGAUGCCAAGACGUCUGGAAGCAGAAGCACAAAGACAGCACUUGGGGACCCUCAAAAUGCCAGGUCAUUGCUCUGGAUUGGCUUCAGCCAAGGAGAGACCAGGAUGGCCAAAGGCAGAGGCUGGGAACGGAAGGCCCUCCUUCAGUCUGAAAGAGACAGCUAAGGGUAUAGUAUCAGCCUGGCAGCCUCCUGCCCUUGUUCACACACAGUGUGCGGCUAUGGUGCUCUGGGCUGAGGUAGCCAUUUUGCAAACAUGAGAUGGUGAGUGUGAAGAAUAGGAGGUCACAACGAACACAGAGAGAAACCCUGGCUCCAUCGGGAUUCAACUGGGCAGUUCGACCAACACCAGCCUCUACCUAUGUCUGUACUUUUAAGAAAAAAAAAAGGGGGGGGGGGGGCAAAAACCUACUGCUCAGACUUGUAAUGGUUGGGAUUUGUGUCUUGUGGCCCUAAGUGUUCCUUCCUGGGGCAAUAUGUAGCAGGUGUCUGAAUAGCAGGUGACAGAGGCAGCCGGGAACUAUUAAUCUUCACUCUGCAAUUCAUGACAGAGCCCUAACAUCAAACACAGAUAUGGAAAGGAGAUCUUGGGAUGUGCUUGGUCAUCAGUAUCCCAUCAUCAAGGGAAUUCAGGACAGGAACUCAAAGCAGGAACAUAGAAGCAGGACCCGAAGCAGAAGUUAUAGGGACUCUCUGCUCACAGGACUGCUCAUUCUGUUUUGCUUUGUACCACCCAGGACCACUGGCCUAGGGUUGGUACUGACUCCGGUGAACUGGGCCUCCAGCAUCAAUCAUUAAUUGAUUAAUGCUUGAUGGGGCAUUUUGUUAGUUGAAGUUCCUCUUUCCAGAUAAUUCUAGUUUGUGUCAGCUUGUUUAAAAAAAAAAAAAAAAGCAAGCUGGGCAGUGGUGGUGCAUGCCUUUAAUCCCAGCAGUUGGGAAGCAGAGGCAGGCAGAUUUCUGACUUCAAGGCCAGCCUGGUCUACAGGGUGAGUUCCAGGAUAGCCAGGGCUACACAGAGAAGCCCUGUCUCGAAAAACAAAAACAAGCCAGGAUAGAAGUGGAUAUUGGACAUUUCAAAAUGUUUUGGUACUAAUUCGUUUUUUUGUUUGUCUGGUUGGUUGGUUGGUUGGUUUUUGGUUUUGUUUUCCUAUAUCUCAAACACUGUUCCUCCUCUAAGUCCCUCCCUCACAGAGUCCCUACCUCCACUCCCCCUCCCCUACUCCAUUGAGAGGGUGCCCCACCCCCCAGUAUCCCCACACUCUGUCAUGUCACAUCUCUGCCAGGUUAGGGGUAUCCUCUCCCAAAGGUCUUCUUUUAUAAAGAGAGCCAGAAGGCAAAUGGAGCAGUCAAAAGUGCUAAAGGUUUUAUAAGAAUAAAGGUGGAAGCAAAACACUUUAGCGCCUUGUU
Molecule: long non-coding RNA, 1766 nt
Filed under: Mus spicilegus (steppe mouse)
Lineage: Eukaryota; Metazoa; Chordata; Mammalia; Rodentia; Muridae
Description: lncRNA (ENSMSIG00000004213.1)
Source: RNAcentral